UCGAACGAAGCACUCUAUUUGAUUUUCUUCGGAGAUGAAGAUUUUGUGACUGAUUGGCGGACGGGUGAGUAACGCGUGGGUAACCUGCCUCAUACAGGGGGAUAACAGUUGGAAACGACUGCUAAUACCGCAUAAGCGCACGGUACCGCAUGGUACCGUGUGAAAAACUCCGGUGGUAUGAGAUGGACCCGCGUCUGAUUAGCUAGUUGGUGGGGUAACAGCCUACCAAGGCGACGAUCAGUAGCCGACCUGAGAGGGUGACCGGCCACAUUGGGACUGAGACACGGCCCAAACUCCUACGGGAGGCAGCAGUGGGGAAUAUUGCACAAUGGGGGAAACCCUGAUGCAGCGACGCCGCGUGAGCGAAGAAGUAUUUCGGUAUGUAAAGCUCUAUCAGCAGGGAAGAAAAAAAUGACGGUACCUGACUAAGAAGCACCGGCUAAGUACGUGCCAGCAGCCGCGGUAAUACGUAUGGUGCAAGCGUUAUCCGGAUUUACUGGGUGUAAAGGGAGCGCAGGCGGUGCGGCAAGUCUGAUGUGAAAGCCCGGGGCUCAACCCCGGUACUGCAUUGGAAACUGUCGUACUAGAGUGUCGGAGGGGUAAGUGGAAUUCCUAGUGUAGCGGUGAAAUGCGUAGAUAUUAGGAGGAACACCAGUGGCGAAGGCGGCUUACUGGACGAUAACUGACGCUGAGGCUCGAAAGCGUGGGGAGCAAACAGGAUUAGAUACCCUGGUAGUCCACGCUGUAAACGAUGAAUACU
Molecule: ribosomal RNA, 760 nt
Filed under: uncultured bacterium
Lineage: Bacteria
Description: bacterial SSU rRNA
Rfam family: Bacterial small subunit ribosomal RNA
Source: RNAcentral